This 277-nucleotide ribosomal RNA is filed under the name uncultured bacterium. RNAcentral's name for it is "partial 16S ribosomal RNA". It matches the Rfam family "Bacterial small subunit ribosomal RNA", at positions 30 to 307 of the family's 1533-position model. The record is from RNAcentral.
AUUGAACGCUGGCGGCAUGCCUAACACAUGCAAGUCGAACGGUAGCAGGCCUUCGGGCGCUGACGAGUGGCGGACGGGUGAGUAAUACAUAGGAAUCUGCCUUUUAGUGGGGAGUAACCGACGAAUACCGGCGUAAUACCGCAUACGCACUACGGUGGAAAGACAGGGGAGUCGUAAGACCUUGCGCUAAUAGAUGAGCCUAUGUCGGAUUAGCUUGUUGGUAGGGUAAGUGGCCUACCAAGGCGACGAUCCGUAGCUGGUCUGAGAGGACGACCAG